CUGGUAGUGUUGUCUGUCCUCUGUGACUUCACCACCACUGUUAAAUCUGAGAUCAACAUCUUUAAUAAAGGAAUAUACAACAUGGAUCACUAUCACUACUGCUGCUGCUGUUGUCUUUCAUAUGGACAAUAUGGAGGAAUACUAGCAACACUGGAUCUAAUGCUGGACUGUAUAUACAGACUAGGAGAACACCUGAUACACAGAAGAAGGAGAAAUACUAAUAUCUGGAUUGAAGAUACAAUACAUAUUUGUAUUAUCUAGAAACAGCUUAUAUAAAGUGUUUGUUUUACCUGGAAGAUGUUAAAGUGUAUUAGUGUUGAUUGUGAUUCUGUAUGAGUGAUCUUCACUGUAACAGCUGCAGCAUCACAACACAGAGAGGUUUUUGUACCAGCAGUAACAGGGAUUGUAUCACUGUGGUGGACUUUUGGUAGCGGCACCAGACUUGAUGUUGGAAGUAACAGUUCCCCAACCCUCACCGUCCUGCCCCCCUCUAGUGAGGAGCUGUCCAGUACAACAACAGCCACACUGAUGUGUCUGGCCAACAAGGGCUUCCCCUCAGACUGGACCAUGAGCUGGAAAGUGGACGGGACCAGCAAGAAGCAGGAGGCCAGUCCCGGGGUCCUGGAGAAGGACGGCCUGUACAGCUGGAGCAGCACACUGACUCUCACUGCCCAGGAGUGGACCAAGGCAGGAGAGGUGACCUGUGAAGCCCAGCAGAAAUCACAGACUCCAGUCACCAAGACCCUGAGGAGGGCUGACUGUUCUGGGUAGGACCCCUCAGUCACACACCCCUGUGGUUCUGGGUAGGACCCCUCAGUCACACACCCCUGUGGAGAGAGGAUGCUGGUUCCUCUGCUUUGACUUACUUUGUUCUAAAAUCAGUCGUUCUCUGAUUUAGAGAUCACUCUGGUGUGGACUAACAGGGGGCUUGGCUUGAGUUCAUGUGUCAAUCCAUUCUGUAGAUUGAGAUUUUGUUCGUUUUAGAUUUGAUGUAAUCUGCUUUUAUUCACUAUCAUGUUUGCUUUGAUGCUUCGAUUGUGUGAUAAUGGAUUAAAAUAAAGAUUUCUUUUUGGAAUGCA
This is a non-coding RNA of Coregonus clupeaformis (lake whitefish), 1079 nucleotides long. The record is from the annotation of a RefSeq genome assembly. NCBI's taxonomy places the organism in Eukaryota, Metazoa, Chordata, Actinopteri, Salmoniformes, Salmonidae.